This 533-nucleotide ribosomal RNA is filed under the name uncultured bacterium. RNAcentral describes it as "bacterial SSU rRNA". It matches the Rfam family "Bacterial small subunit ribosomal RNA", at positions 777 to 1308 of the family's 1533-position model. The record is from RNAcentral.
AAUAGAUACCCAGGUAGUCCACGCCGUAAACGAUGAGUGCUAAGUGUUAGAGGGUUUCCGCCCUUUAGUGCUGCAGCAAACGCAUUAAGCACUCCGCCUGGGGAGUACGGCCGCAAGGCUGAAACUCAAAGGAAUUGACGGGGGCCCGCACAAGCGGUGGAGCAUGUGGUUUAAUUCGAAGCAACGCGAAGAACCUUACCAGGUCUUGACAUCCCCUGACAACCCUAGAGAUAGGGCGUUCCCCUUCGGGGGACAGGGUGACAGGUGGUGCAUGGUUGUCGUCAGCUCGUGUCGUGAGAUGUUGGGUUAAGUCCCGCAACGAGCGCAACCCUUGAUCUUAGUUGCCAGCAUUCAGUUGGGCACUCUAAGGUGACUGCCGGUGACAAACCGGAGGAAGGUGGGGAUGACGUCAAAUCAUCAUGCCCCUUAUGACCUGGGCUACACACGUGCUACAAUGGAUGGUACAAAGGGCUGCAAAACCGCGAGGUUAAGCGAAUCCCAUAAAACCAUUCUCAGUUCGGAUUGCAGGCUGC